UACGUAGGGGGCAAGCGUUGUCCGGAAUCAUUGGGCGUAAAGCGCGUGUAGGCGGCUCGAUAAGUCUGCUGUGAAAGUUCAGGGCUCAACCCUGAAAUGCCGGUGGAAACUGUCGGGCUAGAGUCCGGAAGAGGCGAGUGGAAUUCCUGGUGUAGCGGUGAAAUGCGCAGAUAUCAGGAGGAACACCAAUGGCGAAGGCAGCUCGCUGGGACGGUACUGACACUGAGACGCGAAAGCGUGGGGAGCAAACAGG
RNAcentral lists this ribosomal RNA (253 nucleotides) under uncultured bacterium. RNAcentral's name for it is "partial 16S ribosomal RNA". It matches the Rfam family "Bacterial small subunit ribosomal RNA", at positions 524 to 776 of the family's 1533-position model. The record is from RNAcentral.